AAGCGGCAACAGCUCAAAUUUGAAAUCUGGCUCUUUUAGAGUCCGAGUUGUAAUUUGCAGAGGGCGCUUUGGCUUUGGCAGCGGUCCAAGUUCCUUGGAACAGGACGUCACAGAGGGUGAGAAUCCCGUACGUGGUCGCUGGCUAUUGCCGUGUAAAGCCCCUUCGACGAGUCGAGUUGUUUGGGAAUGCAGCUCUAAAUGGGAGGUACAUUUCUUCUAAAGCUAAAUAUUGGCCAGAGACCGAUAGCGCACAAGUAGAGUGAUCGAAAGAUGAAAAGCACUUUGGAAAGAGAGUCAAACAGCACGUGAAAUUGUUGAAAGGGAAGCGCUUGCAGCCAGACUUGCUUACAGUUGCUCAUCCGGGUUUCUACCCGGUGCACUCUUCUGUAGGCAGGCCAGCAUCAGUUUGGGCGGUAGGAUAAAGGUCUCUGUCACGUACCUCCUUUCGGGGAGGCCUUAUAGGGGAGACGACAUACUACCAGCCUGGACUGAGGUCCGCGCAUCUGCUAGGAUGCUGGCGUAAUGGCUGUAAGCGGCCCGUCUUGAAACACGGACCAAGGAGUCUAACAUCUAUGCGAGUGUUUGGGUGUCAAGCCCGAGCGCGUAAUGAAAGUGAACGGAGGUGGGAACSCGCAAGGKUGCACCAUCGACCGAUCCUGAUGUCUUCGGAAGGAUUUGAGUAAGAGCAUGGCUGUUGGGACCCGAAAGAUGGUGAACUAUGCUUGAAUAGGGUGAAGCCAGAAGRAAACUCUGSUGGAGGCUCGCAGCGGUUCUGACGUGCAAAUCGAUCGUCA
This 794-nucleotide ribosomal RNA is filed under the name Alternaria alternata. RNAcentral describes it as "partial large subunit ribosomal RNA". Lineage: Eukaryota; Fungi; Ascomycota; Dothideomycetes; Pleosporales; Pleosporaceae. The record is from RNAcentral.